CCCUAGUAACUGCGAGUGAAGCGGGAAAAGCUCAAAUUUAAAAUCUGGCGGUCUUUGGCCGUCCGAGUUGUAAUCUAGAGAAGUGCUAUCCGCGCUGGACCGUGUACAAGUCUCCUGGAAUGGAGCGUCAUAGAGGGUGAGAAUCCCGUCUUUGACACGGACUGCCAGGGCUUUGUGAUGUGCUCUCAAAGAGUCGAGUUGUUUGGGAAUGCAGCUCAAAAUGGGUGGUAAAUUCCAUCUAAAGCUAAAUAUUGGCGAGAGACCGAUAGCGAACAAGUACCGUGAGGGAAAGAUGAAAAGAACUUUGGAAAGAGAGUUAAACAGUACGUGAAAUUGCUGAAAGGGAAACGCUUGAAGUCAGUCGCGUUGGCCGGGGAUCAACCUUGCUUUUGCUGGGUGUACUUUCCGGUUGACGGGUCAGCAUCAAUUUUGACCGUUGGAUAAAGUCUGUGGGAAUGUGGCUUCUUCGGAAGUGUUAUAGCCCAUGGUCGCAUACAACGGUUGGGAUUGAGGAACUCAGCACGCCGCAAGGCCGGGUAUUUAUACCACGUUCGUGCUUAGGAUGCUGGCAUAAUGGCUUUAAUCGACCCGUCUUGAAACACGGACCAAGGAGUCUAACAUGCCUGCGAGUGUUUGGGUGGAAAACCCGAGCGCGUAAUGAAAGUGAAAGUUGAGAUCCCUGUCGUGGGGAGCAUCGACGCCCGGACCAGACCUUUUGUGACGGAUCCGCGGUAGAGCAUGUAUGUUGGGACCCGAAAGAUGGUGAACUAUGCCUGAAUAGGGUGAAGCCAGAGGAAACUCUGGUGGAGGCUCGUAGCGAUUCUGACGUGCAAAUCGAUCGUCAAAUUUGGGUAUAGGGGCGAAAGACUAAU
RNAcentral lists this ribosomal RNA (872 nucleotides) under Psilocybe keralensis. RNAcentral describes it as "partial large subunit ribosomal RNA". It matches the Rfam family "Eukaryotic large subunit ribosomal RNA", at positions 78 to 935 of the family's 3401-position model. Lineage: Eukaryota; Fungi; Basidiomycota; Agaricomycetes; Agaricales; Agrocybaceae. The record is from RNAcentral.